CCUUUGUCGGCUCAGGCAUCCAGCUGGUGCACUGACCAGCCUGCGCAGCCCUAAACAUGGCAAGCUGGGCUAGAAAGUGCAGGAGAGGAUGAGGAGCCCCACCACAUCCAACAGGAUUCAGUCGCAGCCAACUGGGACUGUGCACCGGACCACCCAUCGCCAAUCCGCCAUAUCUACCCAAGCAGGAUUUCCCAGCCCUGAUUAUGCCCCACAGACUGGCAAGACCUAGAAACUUCCAUGCAAGUCCUCCUCCCUGGUUUUCUGAUUAAUGGAAACCCAACCCUUGUAUGCCUGUGUCAUGAUGCUGUGUCAGGGGAAAAUAACUUUUGGUGGACCUGCGGACCCAUGCCAGAGGUCACCACAUAGUGAGUAGGAUUGCUGACAGCUAGCUGUCCUUGGUGGAGGAGAGCGAGCCAGUCACAUAGCUUUUUAAGUUCUGGUGUUUGAUGCAGAAAACUUUCAUGCAAUAGCUUUAUGGAAAGUGUCAGCCAACAAUUCUAUAGGUGUGUGCCCAGCUUUACUGUCCAGGUCAGACUAUGCUGCGCAGCCAUCCUCAUUAAAUAGCGACUUUGUUAUAAGUGCACGGUAGAGGACCAGCGGCGGGCCCAUAGAAGUAUACAGCACUUCAAGCAAUUUAGAAGUUAAAAGACACAGUUUAAUUUACAAUAUCCACAACUUAAAAUGCAGGUAACAAACGUACAAGAAAACAGAAACAAUGAGCUUAUCUGUCCAUAGCAAUGGUCCAGGAUACAGGAGUUUACCAAAGUGUUUCAUCACUCUCUUGUUUAGUACGCGCACCGGAUUGUGAUUAUGGCAUUGUGAGGGGAGGUCAUCUACAUAUUGUAAAAGCGUGAUCGGAUACAUAAGUUGAAUCAGACAUUCAAUUCUGGACAGAGGAUCAUUUUGGAACCAAUAGAUAUACCUGCAGAAAAACAAUACAACUCCAUCUGAUUAGUUUAAACACACUCCAUAUGACUCAUCAGUCUAAUGUGUAACAAACAAUCUAACUUGUAUGAAGUGGACUACACAUUGUUUUCAUUUUUUUCUAUGAUUUCAAAUCAACUUUGAGUGAAAAGACAACGAACAAAAACCAGCCCCCACACUACUGUCUGGAUAAGUAUACUUUGUUUAUAUCUGUAAAUCAUUUUGGAGUUUUAGAAUUAGGUAGCUCCACCUUCAGCACUGCACCACACUUUUCUAUUCCUACACUUGUGGAUCUUUUGGGAAAGAUCCUCAAAGUGCCGGUGAGGGGCAGCACCCCUUCCCUGAAACACCCCAUCUUCCCUUUCUUCCCUUAUAUCUCUACUAGUUAAAAGCCCAUCAAAAUGAUGGGCACCAGGGCUGGAUUAUAGGUGGGAAGGUUGCUGCUCACACAGGAGCUGCCGGGUUUCUGGAAGUCCUGCUGCUGGUAGCUGGGGCUCUGUCAUGCUGAGGGUGUAGUGUUGGCCAUAUAUACUUUGUGUAUGUAUAUAUAUAUAUAUAUAUAUAUAUUAAUUCUAAAUGAAUGGAGAAAUGGAGAAAUGGAGAGAAAGCUACAGUACAUUCUAGCCACAAGUGAUGUAAAAUCACUAUAUACGUGCAUAACUCAGGAAAUAGGAUGUGUGCACACCCGGCAUUAGCUUUCUUUCACAGAUAUGCCAAACCAACAGAUUAAUUUUAUUAUGGCAAAUAUUGAUUUUAUUUUAAAACAUAGCUAUUUUUGGCAUGAUAGGAAAUUAUAGCUCCAGAAAUGUGGGACUACCAUGGGCACUUACUUUGCUCCUAGUUUCUCAAACAAGAUAGCAAAAAUACCAACAAGCCGGUUCAAAUAAUAAAACAAAAUUGCAGUGACAAUGCAACGUUUAAAAAUCAGAGUAAUAAAAUGAUAAUAAACUUCAUACAGAAGAGAUAAAAAGAGCAGAACCUCCGAAAAGUAAAUAGAGAAAGUAAGCUGCCUGGAAAGGAAGGGACUUAAUAAAUAGAGCAAAAAACAAAUAAUAAAAACAAGAUAUCCUCUUUAUCACACAGUUUACCAGUAAUGAUGCCCUAAUAGAAACUAUGAUCAGUGAGCACUGGCAUAUCCUGAAGCUCGAUGAAGAGUUGAAACCACUGAUAACAGAAAACCCAAGAAUAAUUUAUAGAUGAGCAGAGAAUCUUAAAUAAGAGCUAGUCUCAAAUUUUUUAAUAUAGGAAUGCCUAACCCAGUCACAAAAAAAUUAAGGUUAACUAAAAGACCAAUACAACGAUUCAAAUCAAACAGAAGUGGAAAAAUGUACUGAUCAAAGAACACAUCAGCUGUGAUACUGAAGAAGUUAUCUACCUAUUGGAAUGUCCCUGUGGACUUCAAUACAUUGGCUAGACCAAAAGGAUGGCUAAAGUAAGAACACAGUUAGAAUAUUAGGAUGAGAUAGUGUAUCGAACCAUUUCAUGGAAGUCCUCAAAAAAGAUCCAUUGGGUUUGAAGAUUAGUUUAUGGCCAUUCAGAAGAUAGACAACUGGAGAAGAGGAGAUAUUGUGACGACUAAAGGAAGAACAAGACCUGAUGGAUCUUUGUGCUC
Long non-coding RNA from Pseudophryne corroboree (corroboree frog), 2536 nucleotides. RefSeq lists it as uncharacterized. The transcript has 4 exons. NCBI's taxonomy places the organism in Eukaryota, Metazoa, Chordata, Amphibia, Anura, Myobatrachidae. The record is from RefSeq and is a predicted model, not a curated record.